Long non-coding RNA from Triplophysa dalaica, 851 nucleotides. RefSeq lists it as uncharacterized. The transcript is spliced from 5 exons. Lineage: Eukaryota; Metazoa; Chordata; Actinopteri; Cypriniformes; Nemacheilidae. The record is from RefSeq and is a predicted model, not a curated record.
UUUUGAAUGGAUGUGAGUGGAGGAGAGUCUUACCUACCCUAAAUAAAUUGCAUUUGAGAGGCAAUAGCGUAUCAUUUAAUGAACAGACAGCCUGUCCGCUAAUCUUCAACAUGGUGUACAUUAAACAAUAAUGCUUCUGUAGAGAACUAUAUGUAGGAUUUAAACGGUCUUUAAAAGAGAAGGCAAUGUCACGACAGAAUCUUUGCAGAUACAAUGAUGUAGUUUGCCAUGCAUCUUAGAAGUUGUAGUCGAUUUGCGAACACAGCUUUAAAUGCGGCCUAUGAAAAGGACUUCAUUUCCCAGAAUGCUCCCUCUCACAAGAAGAACCAGAAAGUAAAAUUAAAAAAAAGAACACGACAACAGUCCAUUUUGUGGAACAGCAGACUCAUCUCCAGUCAAAGACAGACUCCCUGAGGCCACCAAAAAGGAAAACAAAGUACUUGAUCUUGGAUUAUAUGUUGGAGUGGAUGUGAAGACACAGUCUGGUGAAUGUAGAUGGCAAUAAAAAACCCAGGCCAAAACUGUAAACUGGAGAGCUGUACAUGGAAAAUAUGAUUCCCAAUUUUGUUGUGAUUGGCACCAAGAAGUCCUUCAUUUGCACAGAUGACUGAGCUGGAGGUCACAAAAAGUUCCGAAACCUGGGUUUCAUCUAAUUGUUUUCAUUUUCUACAGUGUUGUUUGUAACUUAUUUGCAACUUAUAACUGUAUAUUUGCACCUCUGUUAACACAUUUUUGUCUUUAAUUUCUCUUGUUUGUCUAUUCAGUUUGUUUAUUGGUCUCUGUUAAUAUAUUUUUAUGCACUAAAUAUUUUACAUUGUGUUAAUUUAAUCCUUAAUGUAUGAAUUUAGUGC